UUUUGUGGGGUGCUCGAGUGGCGAACGGGUGAGUAACACGUGAGUAACCUGCCCUUGACUUUGGGAUAACUUCAGGAAACUGGGGCUAAUACCGGAUAGGAGCUCCUGCUGCAUGGUGGGGGUUGGAAAGUUUCGGCGGUUGGGGAUGGACUCGCGGCUUACCAGCUUGUUGGUGGGGUAGUGGCUUACCAAGGCUUUGACGGGUAGCCGGCCUGAGAGGGUGACCGGCCACAUUGGGACUGAGAUACGGCCCAG
RNAcentral lists this ribosomal RNA (255 nucleotides) under uncultured Actinomycetales bacterium. RNAcentral's name for it is "partial 16S ribosomal RNA". It matches the Rfam family "Bacterial small subunit ribosomal RNA", at positions 78 to 334 of the family's 1533-position model. The record is from RNAcentral. Lineage: Bacteria; Bacillati; Actinomycetota; Actinomycetes; Actinomycetales.